GAGGGUAUAGCUUAGUGGUAGAGCACAUGCUUAGCAUGCACAAGGUCCUGGGUUCAAUCCCCAGAACCUCCA
RNAcentral lists this transfer RNA (72 nucleotides) under Camelus bactrianus (Bactrian camel). It matches the Rfam family "tRNA". Rfam says of the family: Transfer RNA (tRNA) molecules are approximately 80 nucleotides in length. Their secondary structure includes four short double-helical elements and three loops (D, anti-codon, and T loops). Further hydrogen bonds mediate the characteristic L-shaped molecular structure. tRNAs have two regions of fundamental functional importance: the anti-codon, which is responsible for specific mRNA codon recognition, and the 3' end, to which the tRNAs corresponding amino acid is attached (by aminoacyl-tRNA synthetases). tRNAs cope with the degeneracy of the genetic code in two manners: having more than one tRNA (with a specific anti-codon) for a particular amino acid; and 'wobble' base-pairing, i.e. permitting non-standard base-pairing at the 3rd anti-codon position. RNAcentral also lists the same sequence under 1 other name. Lineage: Eukaryota; Metazoa; Chordata; Mammalia; Artiodactyla; Camelidae. The record is from Rfam by way of RNAcentral.